RNAcentral lists this long non-coding RNA (361 nucleotides) under Nicotiana benthamiana. RNAcentral describes it as "long non-coding RNA (NBEN_LNC002085)". Lineage: Eukaryota; Viridiplantae; Streptophyta; Magnoliopsida; Solanales; Solanaceae. The record is from RNAcentral.
CCCCCCAUAAAAAAAAAACCCCCAAAACCCAUUUCUGAACUAUCUUAACUCUUAUACAGCUAUGAUGUCGAAGUAACUAAGAGACAUUUUUUCUUUUAAGUGAAGUAAAUGAGAGACAUGAUUACUUGUCUGUAGAAGAGUAGCCAUAUGCAGUAACUUAAUGAAUUGGCGUUUAUGGAGACAGACCAGUAAAUGUUAGUUAUAUGAGUUCGUUCUUUCGCUCUUCUUUCUCUUUAAUGUGUGUGUGCAUGUGAAGCGACAUGUAUCUAUGCCCUCGAGCACAUGUAUCAGCAGUUUUACCUAUUAGUAUUAUAUUCUGAUUCGACAAAAUAUGUGUGUUCAUUAUGACUUUUUUAACAGC